RNAcentral lists this ribosomal RNA (108 nucleotides) under Prevotella brunnea. Its description in RNAcentral is "partial 23S ribosomal RNA". It matches the Rfam family "Bacterial large subunit ribosomal RNA", at positions 1 to 106 of the family's 2925-position model. The record is from RNAcentral. Lineage: Bacteria; Pseudomonadati; Bacteroidota; Bacteroidia; Bacteroidales; Prevotellaceae.
AAUAGAAAGUAGGAAAGGGCGUAUGGCGGAUGCCUAGGCUCACGGAGGCGAUGAAGGACGUGAUAAGCUGCGAUAAGUUUCGGGUAGGUGCAAAUAACCUUUGAUCCG